RNAcentral lists this long non-coding RNA (202 nucleotides) under Physcomitrium patens. RNAcentral describes it as "long non-coding RNA (PPAT_LNC001259)". Lineage: Eukaryota; Viridiplantae; Streptophyta; Bryopsida; Funariales; Funariaceae. The record is from RNAcentral.
GAUGUUACUCUAAACGAUACUCGUCCUGAUUUAUUCUGGUCGCUGUUAGUAUUGGCAGAGGUGGCACCAUCAUUGUGAACGAUGUUAACGUUUUCUUCUACCAAGUGACCUCCAACUGAGCCUUCGCCCGAAAUCUCUCAACCAAAUCCACAAGCUGAGUCCCUUAUCGUUCACGGCAACACAGACUUACUGCACCGUAAUG